GAUGAACGCUGGCGGCGUGCCUAAUACAUGCAAGUCGAGCGAACAGACAAGGAGCUUGCUCCUUUGACGUUAGCGGCGGACGGGUGAGUAACACGUGGGUAACCUACCUAUAAGACUGGGAUAACUUCGGGAAACCGGAGCUAAUACCGGAUAAUAUUUCGAACCGCAUGGUUCGAUAGUGAAAGAUGGUUUUGCUAUCACUUAUAGAUGGACCCGCGCCGUAUUAGCUAGUUGGUAAGGUAACGGCUUACCAAGGCGACGAUACGUAGCCGACCUGAGAGGGUGAUCGGCCACACUGGAACUGAGACACGGUCCAGACUCCUACGGGAGGCAGCAGUAGGGAAUCUUCCGCAAUGGGCGAAAGCCUGACGGAGCAACGCCGCGUGAGUGAUGAAGGUCUUCGGAUCGUAAAACUCUGUUAUUAGGGAAGAACAUACGUGUAAGUAACUAUGCACGUCUUGACGGUACCUAAUCAGAAAGCCACGGCUAACUACGUGCCAGCAGCCGCGGUAAUACGUAGGUGGCAAGCGUUAUCCGGAAUUAUUGGGCGUAAAGCGCGCGUAGGCGGUUUUUUAAGUCUGAUGUGAAAGCCCACGGCUCAACCGUGGAGGGUCAUUGGAAACUGUAAAACUUGAGUGCAGAAGAGGAAAGUGGAAUUCCAUGUGUAGCGGUGAAAUGCGCAGAGAUAUGGAGGAACACCAGUGGCGAAGGCGACUUUCUGGUCUGUAACUGACGCUGAUGUGCGAAAGCGUGGGGAUCAAACAGGAUUAGAUACCCUGGUAGUCCACGCCGUAAACGAUGAGUGCUAAGUGUUAGGGGGUUUCCGCCCCUUAGUGCUGCAGCUAACGCAUUAAGCACUCCGCCUGGGGAGUACGACCGCAAGGUUGAAACUCAAAGGAAUUGACGGGGACCCGCACAAGCGGUGGAGCAUGUGGUUUAAUUCGAAGCAACGCGAAGAACCUUACCAAAUCUUGACAUCCUUUGACAACUCUAGAGAUAGAGCCUUCCCCUUCGGGGGACAAAGUGACAGGUGGUGCAUGGUUGUCGUCAGCUCGUGUCGUGAGAUGUUGGGUUAAGUCCCGCAACGAGCGCAACCCUUAAGCUUAGUUGCCAUCAUUAAGUUGGGCACUCUAAGUUGACUGCCGGUGACAAACCGGAGGAAGGUGGGGAUGACGUCAAAUCAUCAUGCCCCUUAUGAUUUGGGCUACACACGUGCUACAAUGGACAAUACAAAGGGCAGCGAAACCGCGAGGUCAAGCAAAUCCCAUAAAGUUGUUCUCAGUUCGGAUUGUAGUCUGCAACUCGACUACAUGAAGCUGGAAUCGCUAGUAAUCGUAGAUCAGCACGCUACGGUGAAUACGUUCCCGGGUCU
Molecule: ribosomal RNA, 1372 nt
Filed under: uncultured bacterium
Lineage: Bacteria
Description: bacterial SSU rRNA
Rfam family: Bacterial small subunit ribosomal RNA
Source: RNAcentral